This 167-nucleotide microRNA precursor is filed under the name Pelobates cultripes (western spadefoot toad). The record is from RNAcentral. Lineage: Eukaryota; Metazoa; Chordata; Amphibia; Anura; Pelobatidae.
GGUCAGCUGACACAUCCCUGCCAAUCUCCGGCAGACCCUCCCUCCCAGAUCCUCCUACUUCCUGGACAGCAUACAUGUUGAAGGCAGCUUCAACAUGGAUGCUGUCCAGGAGGUGGGAGGGUCUGGGAGGGAGCGUCUGCCGGAGAUUGGCAGGGAUGUGUCAGCUG